RNAcentral lists this ribosomal RNA (844 nucleotides) under Thelotrema gallowayanum. RNAcentral describes it as "eukaryotic LSU rRNA". It matches the Rfam family "Eukaryotic large subunit ribosomal RNA", at positions 119 to 940 of the family's 3401-position model. Lineage: Eukaryota; Fungi; Ascomycota; Lecanoromycetes; Ostropales; Graphidaceae. The record is from RNAcentral.
AUGACUGGCUCUUUGAGGUCGAGUUGUAAUUUGUAGAAGGUGCUUCGGAUGCAAUAACGGUGCAAGUCCUUUGGAAUUGGGCGUCAUAGAGGGUGAUAACCCCGUUUGUCUACCGAAUUAUUCAUCCAUGUGAAGCCCUUUCGACGAGUCGAGUUGUUUGGGAAUGCAGCUCAAAAUGGGUGGUAGAAUUCAUCUAAAGCUAAAUAUUUGCCAGAGACCGAUAGCGCACAAGUAGAGUGAUCGAAAGAUGAAAAGCACUUUGAAAAGAGAGUUAAACAGCACGUGAAAUUGUUGAAAGGGAAGCGCUUGCAACCAGACUUGCUCCGAGGUAUUCAGCUUUGUUAAAAAGUGUAUUUGCUUCGAGCGGGCCAGCAUCGGUUUUGACGGCUGGAUNAAGACCUAGGAAAAGUAGCNAAUCUUCGGGGAAGNGUUNUUGUCCAGGNACAANGCNNUCUGUCAGGACCGAGGAACGCGCUUUUUGCUCGGAUGCUGGCGUAAUGGUUGUCAGCGACCCGUCUUGAAACACGGACCAAGGAGUCGACCAAUUAAGCGAGCGUUAGGGUGUAAAACCCACAACGCGUAAUGAAAGUAAACGUAGGUGGGAAGCUUUUGCGCACCAUCGACCGAUCUGAGUUCGCGAGGAUUUGAGUAUGAGUUUAAUUUGUCGGACCCGAAAGGUCGAGCAACCCCCUCCCCUUUUUUCUUUUUAAAUUUACUAACUUUAUUACAGAAGGUGAUCUAUUCCUGACUAGGUUGAAGUCAGGUGAAAACACAAUGGAGGACUGCAGCGAUUCUGAUCACAAUAUCGCUCGCUCGAGCAUGCAAUUAGAGGGCCCAAUUAAUC